CUUUUUUUUCUUUUUUUCUUUUUUUUUUUUUUUGAGACAGUCUCGCCCUGUCACCCAGGCUGGAGUGCACUGGCACAAUCUCAGCUCACUGCAACCUCUGCCUCCCAGGUUCAAGCAAUUUUCCUGCCUCAGCCUCCUGUGUAGCUGGUACUACAGGUGCCAGCCACCACACCCGGCUACUUUUUGUAUUUUUAGUAGAGACGGAGUUUUUCCAUGUUGGCCAGGCUGGUCU
This 232-nucleotide long non-coding RNA is filed under the name Homo sapiens (human). Its description in RNAcentral is "non-protein coding lnc-RCC1-5:1". Lineage: Eukaryota; Metazoa; Chordata; Mammalia; Primates; Hominidae. The record is from RNAcentral.